AUGAGUCGACCUGAUGGGAUCAACAUCCCCGACGGCAAGUUCUACCUUGGAGAUGCUGGCUAUGCAUGUCGGCCGGGUAUUCUUCCACCCUUCAGAAAAACAAGGUACCAUCUCAACGAGUUCUCUGGUAGGAACUUUCCUAGGAUUGCACAGGAGCUAUUUAAUCUCAAACACUCCAGCCUUAGAGUAACUGUUGAGAGGGCAUUUGGAGCUCUGAAGAAUAGGUUUAAGAUCCUGGAUCAGAAGCCAUUCCAGCCAUACUCCACUCAAGUUAAGUUAGUUCUUGCUUGUUGCAUUCUGCAUAACUGGAUCCUCUAG
This 318-nucleotide ribosomal RNA is filed under the name Triticum aestivum (bread wheat). RNAcentral describes it as "partial small subunit ribosomal RNA". Lineage: Eukaryota; Viridiplantae; Streptophyta; Magnoliopsida; Poales; Poaceae. The record is from RNAcentral.